This 496-nucleotide ribosomal RNA is filed under the name uncultured bacterium. RNAcentral's name for it is "partial 16S ribosomal RNA". It matches the Rfam family "Bacterial small subunit ribosomal RNA", at positions 28 to 506 of the family's 1533-position model. The record is from RNAcentral.
GAUGAACGCUGGCGGCGUGCCUAAUACAUGCAAGUCGAGCGAACGGACGAGAAGCUUGCUUCUCUGAUGUUAGCGGCGGACGGGUGAGUAACACGUGGAUAACCUACCUAUAAGACUGGGAUAACUUCGGGAAACCGGAGCUAAUACCGGAUAAUAUUUUGAACCGCAUGGUUCAAAAGUAAAAGACGGUCUUGCUGUCACUUAUAGAUGGAUCCGCGCUGCAUUAGCUAGUUGGUAAGGUAACGGCUUACCAAGGCAACGAUGCAUAGCCGACCUGAGAGGGUGAGGCGCCAACCGGGAAAUGGGACGCGGGCCAGACCCCUAAGGGGGGGAGGAGUAGGGAAUCUUCCGCAAGGGGCAAAAGCCUGGGGGAGCAACGGCGGGUGAGUGAAGAAGGUCUUCGGGUCGAAAAACUUUUUUAUUAGGGAAGAACAGGUGUGAAAGUAAAGGUGCCAAUCUUGACGAGACCUAGUAAAAAAGCCAGGGCUAACUGCAU